AAAAUUAUUCCUUACCCGUGGAAGAAGAAUUGUGCUUUUGUGGAGUUUGAGCGGGAGAGUGAUAGUCAAGAUGCGUUGGUGGAUAUGCGUUUCAAAUUCUUCCCGGACAAAUGGCAAUGGAAAGUGUGCUAUGCUCACUCGGAUGAUCCUGGAAAGAGUGUUGUAGAAGAGAAUGUUGAAGAAGUUGAUUGGCAACUAGUGCCUCAAUCGUCAUCCGACUCAAGAAAGGCUCUUGAAGAAGAUCAUUCCUCAUCGUACUCUGGGGUCACAACUCUUGCUCCCUCAUCAUCUUUUGGGGUCACACCAUCGUAAAGCGCUCUUCCUAGCUCUAAGUUGUCUCCUUACCCACUUCCCUUGACCACUGCUGGGGUCAAACCAACGGCAAGCGCUCGUGCUCCCUCAUCAUCCUCUGGGGUCACACCAUCGCCAAGCACUUUUGAGUUUUGAUACGUUUAAGUUGCCUCCUC
Molecule: long non-coding RNA, 467 nt
Organism: Rosa rugosa (rugosa rose)
Lineage: Eukaryota; Viridiplantae; Streptophyta; Magnoliopsida; Rosales; Rosaceae
Exons: 5
Source: RefSeq, a predicted model, not a curated record